Ribosomal RNA from Lactobacillus crispatus ST1, 1564 nucleotides. It matches the Rfam family "Bacterial small subunit ribosomal RNA". The record is from Rfam. NCBI's taxonomy places the organism in Bacteria, Bacillati, Bacillota, Bacilli, Lactobacillales, Lactobacillaceae.
UAAAAUGAGAGUUUGAUCCUGGCUCAGGACGAACGCUGGCGGCGUGCCUAAUACAUGCAAGUCGAGCGAGCGGAACUAACAGAUUUACUUCGGUAAUGACGUUAGGAAAGCGAGCGGCGGAUGGGUGAGUAACACGUGGGGAACCUGCCCCAUAGUCUGGGAUACCACUUGGAAACAGGUGCUAAUACCGGAUAAGAAAGCAGAUCGCAUGAUCAGCUUUUAAAAGGCGGCGUAAGCUGUCGCUAUGGGAUGGCCCCGCGGUGCAUUAGCUAGUUGGUAAGGUAAAGGCUUACCAAGGCGAUGAUGCAUAGCCGAGUUGAGAGACUGAUCGGCCACAUUGGGACUGAGACACGGCCCAAACUCCUACGGGAGGCAGCAGUAGGGAAUCUUCCACAAUGGACGCAAGUCUGAUGGAGCAACGCCGCGUGAGUGAAGAAGGUUUUCGGAUCGUAAAGCUCUGUUGUUGGUGAAGAAGGAUAGAGGUAGUAACUGGCCUUUAUUUGACGGUAAUCAACCAGAAAGUCACGGCUAACUACGUGCCAGCAGCCGCGGUAAUACGUAGGUGGCAAGCGUUGUCCGGAUUUAUUGGGCGUAAAGCGAGCGCAGGCGGAAGAAUAAGUCUGAUGUGAAAGCCCUCGGCUUAACCGAGGAACUGCAUCGGAAACUGUUUUUCUUGAGUGCAGAAGAGGAGAGUGGAACUCCAUGUGUAGCGGUGGAAUGCGUAGAUAUAUGGAAGAACACCAGUGGCGAAGGCGGCUCUCUGGUCUGCAACUGACGCUGAGGCUCGAAAGCAUGGGUAGCGAACAGGAUUAGAUACCCUGGUAGUCCAUGCCGUAAACGAUGAGUGCUAAGUGUUGGGAGGUUUCCGCCUCUCAGUGCUGCAGCUAACGCAUUAAGCACUCCGCCUGGGGAGUACGACCGCAAGGUUGAAACUCAAAGGAAUUGACGGGGGCCCGCACAAGCGGUGGAGCAUGUGGUUUAAUUCGAAGCAACGCGAAGAACCUUACCAGGUCUUGACAUCUAGUGCCAUUUGUAGAGAUACAAAGUUCCCUUCGGGGACGCUAAGACAGGUGGUGCAUGGCUGUCGUCAGCUCGUGUCGUGAGAUGUUGGGUUAAGUCCCGCAACGAGCGCAACCCUUGUUAUUAGUUGCCAGCAUUAAGUUGGGCACUCUAAUGAGACUGCCGGUGACAAACCGGAGGAAGGUGGGGAUGACGUCAAGUCAUCAUGCCCCUUAUGACCUGGGCUACACACGUGCUACAAUGGGCAGUACAACGAGAAGCGAGCCUGCGAAGGCAAGCGAAUCUCUGAAAGCUGUUCUCAGUUCGGACUGCAGUCUGCAACUCGACUGCACGAAGCUGGAAUCGCUAGUAAUCGCGGAUCAGCACGCCGCGGUGAAUACGUUCCCGGGCCUUGUACACACCGCCCGUCACACCAUGGGAGUCUGCAAUGCCCAAAGCCGGUGGCCUAACCUUCGGGAAGGAGCCGUCUAAGGCAGGGCAGAUGACUGGGGUGAAGUCGUAACAAGGUAGCCGUAGGAGAACCUGCGGCUGGAUCACCUCCUUU